GGAUGCUAAGCUGAAUCAAUGGACCAGCAAUGCUAGCUAUCGUCAAGCACGACCGGAGGAGGGAAACAGAACGCAUAGAAUGAACAUGCAACUGCUCCAACAGCGAUAAACGAAAUUGCGAUGCUUGAAAUAAAGCUGGAGGCUAAAAUGGAGAGGGUGAAUUUUAAAGAGGAGAUGAUUGAGCUUCUCAAAAAAGACAAGGUCUACCUCCAGGAGGAGCUGGCGAAGAAAGAUGCCUACUUCCAGGAGAAGCUGGCGAAGAAAGAUGAAAAUUAGGAAACAAGCAGAAUUUAAAAAGCGUGACAUUUCGAGCUCAUUCGAAAGUCCCCAAGACCUUGAGUCAUCUGUCAGAUUCAUCUCUGGAGCCACCCAGAGAAAAAAAAGGAAAGCAAAAGAAGAGAAAAUGGUGUAAAUCAACUCGACCUGAG
This is a long non-coding RNA of Clupea harengus (Atlantic herring), 428 nucleotides long. The record is from Ensembl. NCBI's taxonomy places the organism in Eukaryota, Metazoa, Chordata, Actinopteri, Clupeiformes, Clupeidae.